Molecule: transfer RNA, 71 nt
Filed under: Loxodonta africana (African savanna elephant)
Lineage: Eukaryota; Metazoa; Chordata; Mammalia; Proboscidea; Elephantidae
Rfam family: tRNA
About the family: Transfer RNA (tRNA) molecules are approximately 80 nucleotides in length. Their secondary structure includes four short double-helical elements and three loops (D, anti-codon, and T loops). Further hydrogen bonds mediate the characteristic L-shaped molecular structure. tRNAs have two regions of fundamental functional importance: the anti-codon, which is responsible for specific mRNA codon recognition, and the 3' end, to which the tRNAs corresponding amino acid is attached (by aminoacyl-tRNA synthetases). tRNAs cope with the degeneracy of the genetic code in two manners: having more than one tRNA (with a specific anti-codon) for a particular amino acid; and 'wobble' base-pairing, i.e. permitting non-standard base-pairing at the 3rd anti-codon position.
Source: Rfam by way of RNAcentral
ACAGUGGCGGUUCAGUGGUGGAAUUCUCGCCUUUCAUGUGGGAGACCCGGGUUCCAUUCCCGACCAAUGCA